AUUCUUUGCUGCCAAGGCAAAUCAAAUGACAGCAGAACCCUCCAAGAGUGCCUGACGAAUUCCCAACAAAUUAGCAGCUAGCAAGCCUUUUGAAAGAAAUAGAUGCAGCAAUUGCACCACUAAAGAUCUCUCUAAAUGGAGUGGUACUGAAGAUGAAUUUGAUUCAUGGUUUUCAAUACAAUCAACAAGAAAGAGCUGAAGGAAAAAAAAAAAAGAAUUAGCUGAAGAAGAAAAAAAUGGUGUGCGUACAACCUGCAAAUGGGAUUCCACUCUAGUCCACAGCUUCCAGAAUGUUCUGGGAAUCAAUCAGAAUACCAUCUAGAAUAUCUGUGUUCCUUGUAAUAAAUCUUGGCAUUUAAUAAGUCAA
This is a long non-coding RNA of Zalophus californianus (California sea lion), 367 nucleotides long. RefSeq lists it as uncharacterized. The record is from RefSeq and is a predicted model, not a curated record. Lineage: Eukaryota; Metazoa; Chordata; Mammalia; Carnivora; Otariidae. The transcript is spliced from 3 exons.